RNAcentral lists this ribozyme (70 nucleotides) under unclassified sequences. Its description in RNAcentral is "pistol ribozyme". It matches the Rfam family "Pistol ribozyme". The record is from RNAcentral.
AGCCGUCCAGGCGGCUAUAAAUAGGCAUUAAGCCUGGAGCGUUUACGGGGCAAUACCCCGUAAGGUUGCA